GGAAUUGUUCGCAAUGGGCGAAAGCCUGACGACGCAACGCCGCGUGGAGGAUGAAGACUUUCGGGUCGUAAACUCCUUUCGACCGAGAUGAAUACCCGCCGACCUAAUACGUCGGCGGGCUGACCGUAACGAGGGAAGACGCCCCGGCUAACUCCGUGCCCCCCGCCGCGGUAAUACGGGGGGGGCAAGCGUGGUUCGGAAUUACUGGGCGUAAAGGGUUCGUAGGUGGCCAACUUAGUCAGACGUGAAAUCCCUCGGCUCAACCGGGGAACUGCGUCUGAUACUGGAUGGCUUGAGUGCAGGAGAGGAACGCGGAAUUCCAGGUGUAGCGGUGAAAUGCGUAGAUAUCUGGAGGAACACCGGUGGCGAAGGCGGCGUUCUGGACUGUAACUGACACUGAGGAACGAAAGCCAGGGGAGCAAAC
Molecule: ribosomal RNA, 424 nt
Filed under: uncultured bacterium
Lineage: Bacteria
Description: bacterial SSU rRNA
Rfam family: Bacterial small subunit ribosomal RNA
Source: RNAcentral